Molecule: ribosomal RNA, 261 nt
Filed under: uncultured prokaryote
Description: partial 16S ribosomal RNA
Rfam family: Bacterial small subunit ribosomal RNA
Source: RNAcentral
UACGUAGGUGGCGAGCGUUAUCCGGAAUUAUUGGGCGUAAAGAGCGCGCAGGUGGUUGAUUAAGUCUGAUGUGAAAGCCCACGUCUUAACCGUGGAGGGUCAUUGGAAACUGGUCGACUUGAGUGCAGAAGAGGGAAGUGGAAUUCCAUGUGUAGCGGUGAAAUGCGUAGAGAUAUGGAGGAACACCAGUGGCGAAGGCGGCUUCCUGGUCUGUAACUGACACUGAGGCGCGAAAGCGUGGGGAGCAAAUAGGAUUAGAUA